This 300-nucleotide small nuclear RNA is filed under the name Erinaceus europaeus (western European hedgehog). Its description in RNAcentral is "7SK RNA". It matches the Rfam family "7SK RNA", at positions 1 to 293 of the family's 331-position model. Rfam says of the family: 7SK was discovered as an abundant small nuclear RNA in the mid-70s but a possible function has only recently been suggested. Lineage: Eukaryota; Metazoa; Chordata; Mammalia; Eulipotyphla; Erinaceidae. The record is from Rfam by way of RNAcentral.
GGAUGUGAGGGCGAUCUGGCUGCGACAUCUGUCAUCCCAUUAAUUGCCAGGGUUGAUUCGGCUGAUCUGGCUGGCUAGGCGGGUGUCCCCUUCCUCCCUCACUGAUCCAUGUGUGUCCUUCCUGAAGCUGCGAACUCGGUCGAAGAGGAAGGCCUUCCCUGAAUAGAGACGGACCAGUCUUUGGUAGAGGGUUCCCUGGCAGAGGGGUCUAGCGCUCCCCUGCUAGAACCUCCAAAUAAGCUCUCAAAGUAAAAGAUUCUGGGGUAGUGGGGGUGGGGUAGUGUUCAUGUCCUAGAACAU